Molecule: ribosomal RNA, 191 nt
Filed under: Klebsiella pneumoniae
Lineage: Bacteria; Pseudomonadati; Pseudomonadota; Gammaproteobacteria; Enterobacterales; Enterobacteriaceae
Description: partial 16S ribosomal RNA
Rfam family: Bacterial small subunit ribosomal RNA
Source: RNAcentral
AAAUUGAAGAGUUUGAUCAUGGCUCAGAUUGAACGCUGGCGGCAGGCCUAACACAUGCAAGUCGAGCGGUAACACAGAGAGCUUGCUCUCGGGUGACGAGCGGCGGACGGGUGAGUAAUGUCUGGGAAACUGCCUGAUGGAGGGGGAUAACUACUGGAAACGGUAGCUAAUACCGCAUAACGUCGCAAGAC